GAUGAACGCUGGCGGCGUGCCUAAUACAUGCAAGUCGAGCGAACAGACGAGGAGCUUGCUCCUCUGACGUUAGCGGCGGACGGGUGAGUAACACGUGGAUAACCUACCUAUAAGACUGGGAUAACUUCGGGAAACCGGAGCUAAUACCGGAUAAUAUAUUGAACCGCAUGGUUCAAUAGUGAAAGACGGUUUUGCUGUCACUUAUAGAUGGAUCCGCGCCGCAUUAGCUAGUUGGUAAGGUAACGGCUUACCAAGGCAACGAUGCGUAGCCGACCUGAGAGGGUGAUCGGCCACACUGGAACUGAGACACGGUCCAGACUCCUACGGGAGGCAGCAGUAGGGAAGCUUCCGCAACGGGCGAAAGCCUGACGGAGCAACGCCGCGUGAGGGAUGAAGGUCUUCGGAUCGUAAAACUCUGUUAUUAGGGAAGAACAAAUGUGUAAGUAACUAUGCACGUCUUGACGGUACCUAAUCAGAAAGCCACGGCUAACUACGUG
RNAcentral lists this ribosomal RNA (497 nucleotides) under uncultured bacterium. RNAcentral describes it as "partial 16S ribosomal RNA". It matches the Rfam family "Bacterial small subunit ribosomal RNA", at positions 28 to 507 of the family's 1533-position model. The record is from RNAcentral.